Molecule: ribosomal RNA, 637 nt
Filed under: uncultured bacterium
Lineage: Bacteria
Description: bacterial SSU rRNA
Rfam family: Bacterial small subunit ribosomal RNA
Source: RNAcentral
CUGCGGUGCAUUAGCUAGUUGGUAAGGUAACGGCUUACCAAGGCAAUGAUGCAUAGCCGAGUUGAGAGACUGAUCGGCCACAUUGGGACUGAGACACGGCCCAAACUCCUACGGGAGGCAGCAGUAGGGAAUCUUCCACAAUGGACGAAAGUCUGAUGGAGCAACGCCGCGUGAGUGAAGAAGGGUUUCGGCUCGUAAAGCUCUGUUGGUAGUGAAGAAAGAUAGAGGUAGUAACUGGCCUUUAUUUGACGGUAAUUACUUAGAAAGUCACGGCUAACUACGUGCCAGCAGCCGCGGUAAUACGUAGGUGGCAAGCGUUGUCCGGAUUUAUUGGGCGUAAAGCGAGUGCAGGCGGUUCAAUAAGUCUGAUGUGAAAGCCUUCGGCUCAACCGGAGAAUUGCAUCAGAAACUGUUGAACUUGAGUGCAGAAGAGGAGAGUGGAACUCCAUGUGUAGCGGUGGAAUGCGUAGAUAUAUGGAAGAACACCAGUGGCGAAGGCGGCUCUCUGGUCUGCAACUGACGCUGAGGCUCGAAAGCAUGGGUAGCGAACAGGAUUAGAUACCCUGGUAGUCCAUGCCGUAAACGAUGAGUGCUAAGUGUUGGGAGGUUUCCGCCUCUCAGUGCUGCAGCUAACGCA